UUGGAGGGCAGUCUGGUGCCAGCAGCCGCGGUAAUUCCAGCUCCAAUAGCGUAUAUUAAAGUUGUUGCAGUUAAAAAGCUCGUAGUUGAAUUUCGGGAUCAGAUUGUCGGUCGUGCCUCGGUACGCACUGGCAUUAUUGGUUCCUACCUUCUGAAGAACCGCGAUGUCAUUAAUUUGGUGUCGUGGGGAAUCAGGACUGUUACUUUGAAAAAAUUAGAGUGUUUAAAGCAGGCUUACGCUUGAAUACAUUAGCAUGGAAUAAUGAAAUAGGACGUUUGAUUCUAUUUUGUUGGUUUCUAGGAUUGACGUAAUGAUUAAUAGGGAUAGUUGGGGGCAUUAGUAUUCAAUUGUCAGAGGUGAAAUUCUUGGAUUUAUUGAAGACUAACUACUGCGAAAGCAUUUGCCAAGGAUGUUUUCAUUAAUCAAGAACGAAAGUUAGGGGAUCGAAGACGAUCAGAUACCGUCGUAGUCUUAACCAUAAACUAUGCCGACUAGGGAUCGGAUGAUGUUAAUUUUUUAAUGACUCAUUCGGCGCCUUACGGGAAAC
RNAcentral lists this ribosomal RNA (547 nucleotides) under uncultured Glomeromycotina. RNAcentral describes it as "SSU rRNA". It matches the Rfam family "Eukaryotic small subunit ribosomal RNA", at positions 548 to 1098 of the family's 1831-position model. Lineage: Eukaryota; Fungi; Glomeromycota. The record is from RNAcentral.